AUUGAACGCUGGCGGCAGGCCUAACACAUGCAAGUCGAGCGGAUGAAGGGAGCUUGCUCCUGGAUUCAGCGGCGGACGGGUGAGUAAUGCCUAGGAAUCUGCCUGGUAGUGGGGGAUAACGUCCGGAAACGGGCGCUAAUACCGCAUACGUCCUGAGGGAGAAAGUGGGGGAUCUUCGGACCUCACGCUAUCAGAUGAGCCUAGGUCGGAUUAGCUAGUUGGUGGGGUAAGGGCCUACCAAGGCGACGAUCCGUAACUGGUCUGAGAGGAUGAUCAGUCACACUGGAACUGAGACACGAUCCAGACUCCUACGGGAGGCAGCAGUGGGGAAUAUUGGACAAUGGGCGAAAGCCUGAUCCAGCCAUGCCGCGUGUGUGAAGAAGGUCUUCGGAUUGUAAAGCACUUUAAGUUGGGAGGAAGGGCAGUAAGUUAAUACCUUGCUGUUUUGACGUUACCAACAGAAUAAGCACCGGCUAACUUCGUG
This 484-nucleotide ribosomal RNA is filed under the name uncultured bacterium. RNAcentral's name for it is "partial 16S ribosomal RNA". It matches the Rfam family "Bacterial small subunit ribosomal RNA", at positions 30 to 507 of the family's 1533-position model. The record is from RNAcentral.